This 427-nucleotide ribosomal RNA is filed under the name uncultured bacterium. RNAcentral's name for it is "bacterial SSU rRNA". It matches the Rfam family "Bacterial small subunit ribosomal RNA", at positions 355 to 775 of the family's 1533-position model. The record is from RNAcentral.
UGGGGAAUCUUGCGCAAUGGGCGAAAGCCUGACGCAGCAACGCCGCGUGAGCGAAGAAGGCCUUCGGGUUGUAAAGCUCUGUCAGGAGGGACGAAGCCACUCGGGUGAAUAGCCCAGAGGGUGACGGUACCUCCAGAGGAAGCCCCGGCUAACUACGUGCCAGCAGCCGCGGUAAUACGUAGGGGGCGAGCGUUGUCCGGAAUCAUUGGGCGUAAAGCGCGUGUAGGCGGCUUGGCAAGUCCGGUGUGAAAGCUCGAGGCUCAACCUCGAGUCUGCACUGGAAACUGACUUGCUAGAGUCCGGAAGAGGAGACUGGAAUUCCUGGUGUAGCGGUGAAGUGCGCAGAUAUCAGGAAGAACACCGGUGGCGAAGGCGGGUCUCUGGGACGGUACUGACGCUGAGACGGGAAAGCGUGGGGAGCAAACAG